RNAcentral lists this long non-coding RNA (1193 nucleotides) under Salmo salar (Atlantic salmon). RNAcentral's name for it is "lncRNA (ENSSSAG00000096412.1)". Lineage: Eukaryota; Metazoa; Chordata; Actinopteri; Salmoniformes; Salmonidae. The record is from RNAcentral.
ACAGAAACUAAAACAGGAAGUACCGGUGCUAAGGUCCAUUCAGCACAAGUCUGACCAUUCGGAAUACAUGCUUCAAGACUGUUUUGAUCACGCGGACUGGGAUAUGUUCCGGGUUGCCUCGGAUAAUAACAUUGAUGUAUACACGGACACGGUGGCUGAGUUUAAAAGGAAGUGUAUAGGGGAUGUUGUUCCCACUGUGACUAUUAAAACCUACUCAAACCAGAAACCGUGGAUAGAUGGCAGCAUUUGUGCUAAACUGGAAGCGCGAAGCACCGCAUUUAACCAUGGCAAGGUGACUGGGAAUAUGGUUGAAUACAAACAGUGUAGUUAUUCCCUCCGUAAGGCAAUCAAACAGGCAAAACGUCAGUACAGAGACAAAGUGGAGUCGCAAUUCAACGGCUCAGACACAAGACGUAUCUGGCAGGGUCCACAGACAAUCACAGAUUACAAAGGGAACACCAGCCACGUCGCGGACACCGAUGUCUUGCUCCCAGACAAGCUAAACACCUUCUUUGCCCGCUUUGAGGAUAACACAGUGCCAUCGACACAGUCCGCUUCCAAGAACAGUGGGCUCCCCUUCGCCGUGGCUGACUCUGCUGUCCCCACUUGCUUCAAGAUGUCCACCAUUGUUCCUGUACACAAGAAAGCGAAGUGAUUAAUUGGACACAAGGGGAGCUGAGGUGUGACCAGGUACCAAAAGGGGGUUGGCAUCAAUCAGAGAGGAGCUGUCAGUGGUGCAGAAGUUCCAGUCCUACACCCAAGAUGCCGACCAGAACUACGACUUUGCCAGCAACAGUGUCGUCCAGCAUCUUGAGCCCGGCGAUGAGAUCUACAUCAAGCUGGACCGGGGAUAAGGCAAGAAGUACAGCACCUUCUCCGGCUUCAUAGUCUACGCCGAUGAACAGAUCAUCUAUUUUACGCUAGGCUAUUCACUUCAUCUGCUAUAUUCUCUCGUUUAGAUUGGUUAACCCGCUGUCGUUUAGAAGACAGGUGGUUAAAGAGAAACUGGGGGACCUUGACACAGAAGUGAACCUUUAAAUUUACACUAUAAUGGAUGUUUAGUUUUACGAGUAAAAAUCUCCAAAUGAUGCAAUGUCCAAUAAAGAAAGUUGAACACGUGGAAACAAGGAAGGUGAUGAGUGAAUGUUUCAUGUGUAUAAGCCAAUAUUAAUGCAGGUUAAACAGGAAUGGUG